UUAAGUUCAGCGGGUAUCCCUACCUGAUCCGAGGUCAACCUUUGAAAGAUUUAACGGCCGAUCCAACUCGAACUCCACUGCGAAAUAGUUGCCACAACGCUGGGAGACGGGUCAAACAGCCGGAGACUUUAAGGCGCGCGAGAGACUCGCGACGCCCAAUACCAAGCGAGGCUUGAGUGGUGAAAUGACGCUCGAACAGG
This 200-nucleotide unclassified non-coding RNA is filed under the name Ascomycota sp. Its description in RNAcentral is "partial internal transcribed spacer 2". The record is from RNAcentral. Lineage: Eukaryota; Fungi; Ascomycota.